CCCCCCAUGGCCUCAAUGGCUCCUUCUUGUCCAUGCCCAGGUCUGCGGGCGGCCGUGACGCUGGAGGAGACCGGAGGCGGCCUCCAAAGCCCCGGGGGCUCCAUGAGGCUCCUCUGCAAGGCCUCGGGCUUCACCUUCGGAGACUACGGCAUGGGAUGGAUGCGCCAAGCACCGGGGCAGGGGCUCCAGUACGUCGCUGGCAUUAGCAGUGGUGGUGGCACCACCAGAUACGGGGCAUCGGUGAAGGGCCGAGCCACCAUCAGCAGGGACAACUCCCAGGGCACGGUCACGCUGCAGAUGAGCGGCCUCACGGCGCAGGACACGGCCACUUACUACUGCGUGAAGGGUAAUGAUGGUUAUGGUGAUGGUGAUGGUGGUUAUGGUGCUUAUGGUGAUGGUGAUGGUGGUUAUGGUGCUUAUGGUGAUGGUGAUGGUGGUUAUGGUGCUUAUGGUGAUGGUGGUGGUGGUGAUGGUGGUUAUGGUCUGCGGGCGGCCGUGAUGCUGGAGGAGACCGGAGGCGGCCUCCAAAGCCCCGGGGGCUCCAUGAGGCUCCUCUGCAAGGCCUCGGGCUUCACCUUCGGCACCUACGGCAUGGGAUGGAUGCGCCAAGCAAUGGGGCAGGGGCUCCAAUGGGUCGCUGGCAUCAACAGCAAUGGUGGUGGCGCCGGAUACGCGCUGUCGGUGAAGGGCCGAGCCACCAUCACCAUGGACAGCUCCCAGGGCACGGUCACGCUGCAGAUGAGCGGCCUCACGGCGCAGGACACGGCCACUUACUACUGCGUGAAGGGUGCCCACGGUGGUGCCGGCGGCAUGCGGGGCCCGGCUGCCCCCUCCCUCUUGCCCCUCUCCCCCUGCUCUUCCUCCUCCUCCUCCUCCUCCUCCCUGUUCUCCGUCGCCUGCGUGGCCGUGGGCUCCGUGCCCCCCGGCGCCGCCAUCGCCUGGCGCGACCGCCACGACCGGACCCACAGCGCCACCGGGGCCUUCCGUGGGGCGCCCCACGGCGCCGGCGCCGCCUCCCUCCUGGUCAUGGAGGGCGCCGAGGGCCGGGCCCUGCAGCCCUUCCAGUGCCGCCUGGGCAGCGCCAGCGCCAACGUCACCAACCCCGGCUCCACCUCCCCGUCCGCCCCCCUUGUCCCCACCGUCACCCUGUACCCCCCAUCCCGCGAGGACUUCCAGGGCCCCUACCGCAACGCCACCCUCCUGUGCCACGUCCAAGGCCCCCCCUCGCCCCCCAUCCGCUGGCUCCGGAACGGCCUGGACCUCCUCGACGCCGCCAUCACCGAGACCUUGGCCAACGGCGGCCGCGGCGUCACCAACAGCCUCCUGGUGGUCACCGAGGCCGAGUGGGCCUCCGGGGACGUCUUCACGUGCCAGGUGGGGGACGAGAUGAGGAACAUCAGCAAGGCUCUGGAGUGCGGAUACGAGGCCCCCAGUGAGGACAUCACCGUGAAGGUGACGCCGCCGCUCUUCAUGGACAUCUUCAAGGAGAAGGUGGCCAAGCUCUCGUGCCAGGUCCUCAACGUGCCCUCCAUGGACGGCCUGGACGUGUCCUGGUGGAAGGAGGACGGCACCGAGCUCGACACCAAGAGGCUGCCCCACGUCCUGGAGGCCAACGGGCUCUUCAGCGCCAUGGCCGUGGCCAACGUCCGCACCACCGAGUGGGACAGGGGGGACAUCUUCACCUGCAGGGUCACCCACCCCGAGCUGCUCUUCCCUGCCCAGGCCACCCUGCAGAAGGCAGCCGCGAGCGACGCCAAGGCGCCGUCCGUCUUCGUGUUCCCACCUCCCUCCGAGCAGCUUUCCAUGCGGGAAUCGGCCACCAUCACGUGCCUGGUGACGGGCUUCAACCCCCCGGACCUCUUCAUCCAAUGGCUCCGCAACGGGGAUCCCGUUCCCGCUGCCGACUACGUGACGUUGCCGCCGACGCCGGAAUCGCGCCCGCGUCCGCCCGCGUCCCGAGCCCAUCCUGCCCCUUCCUACUUCACCUACAGCGCCCUGACGGUGCCGGGAGAGGAUUGGUCCAGCGGGAACGUCUUCACGUGCGUGGUGGGCCACGAGCGCAUCCCCAUGCAGGUGAUGCAGAGAUCCGUGGAUAAAGCCUCCGAGCUCCCCAAGGGGGAGGAGGAGGAGGAGGAAGAGGAAGACCUCGAGAACCUUUGGGCCACGGCCUCGACCUUCAUCGUCCUCUUCAUCCUCAGCCUCUUCUACAGCGCUACCGUCACCUUGAUCAAGGUGAAAUAACCCCAUUCCGAUGGAAUUCCACCUCUCAUCCCCUCCAGUGCUGGAUAUCGAUGGAAUUCUGUGGGAUUCUUGUCCUUUUCCUCCCUGUUGUAAAUAGUUUCCUCCUAAUAAAUAAAGUUUUCCACAUUUU
Molecule: non-coding RNA, 2371 nt
Organism: Pezoporus occidentalis (night parrot)
Lineage: Eukaryota; Metazoa; Chordata; Aves; Psittaciformes; Psittacidae
Source: the annotation of a RefSeq genome assembly